Molecule: ribosomal RNA, 16 nt
Filed under: Sequoia sempervirens (coast redwood)
Lineage: Eukaryota; Viridiplantae; Streptophyta; Pinopsida; Cupressales; Cupressaceae
Also listed under: 3 other names
Description: partial 18S ribosomal RNA
Source: RNAcentral
UGCGGUAGGAUCAUUG